RNAcentral lists this unclassified non-coding RNA (328 nucleotides) under soil metagenome. RNAcentral's name for it is "partial contains 5.8S ribosomal RNA, internal transcribed spacer 2, and large subunit ribosomal RNA". The stretch from base 1 to 120 matches the Rfam family "5.8S ribosomal RNA", at positions 35 to 154 of the family's 154-position model. The record is from RNAcentral.
GAUGAAGAACGUAGCGAAAUGCGAUAAGUAAUGUGAAUUGCAGAAUUCAGUGAAUCAUCGAAUCUUUGAACGCACAUUGCGCCCUCUGGUAUUCCGGGGGGCAUGCCUGUUCGAGCGUCAUUAUAACCACUCAAGCUCUCGCUUGGUAUUGGAGUUCGCGAUCUCGCGGCUCCUAAAAUCAGUGGCGGUGCCUGUCGGCUCUACGCGUAGUAAUACUCCUCGCGAUUGAGUCCGGUAGGUUUACUUGCCAGCAACCCCCAAUUUUUACAGGUUGACCUCGGAUCAGGUAGGGAUACCCGCUGAACUUAAGCAUAUCAAUAGCGGAGGA